GACGAACGCUGGCGGCGUGCUUAACACAUGCAAGUCGAACGGAAAGGCCUUUUCGGAGGUACUCGAGUGGCGAACGGGUGAGUAACACGCGGGUGAUCUGCCCUGCACUCUGGGAUAAGCCUGGGAAACUGGGUCUAAUACCGGAUAGGACCGCACUUUAGUGUGUGUGGUGGAAAGUUUUUUCGGUGUAGGAUGAGCCCGCGGCCUAUCAGCUUGUUGGUGGGGUAAUGGCCUACCAAGGCGGCGACGGGUAGCCGGACUGAGAGGUUGGUCGGCCACAUUGGGACUGAGAUACGGCCCAGACUCCUACGGGAGGCAGCAGUGGGGAAUAUUGCACAAUGGGCGCAAGCCUGAUGCAGCGACGCCGCGGGGGGGAUGACGGCCUUCGGGUUGUAAACUCCUUUCGCCAGGGACGAAGCGUUUUGUGACGGUACCUGGAGAAGAAGCACCGGCUAACUACGUG
This 463-nucleotide ribosomal RNA is filed under the name uncultured bacterium. Its description in RNAcentral is "partial 16S ribosomal RNA". It matches the Rfam family "Bacterial small subunit ribosomal RNA", at positions 28 to 507 of the family's 1533-position model. The record is from RNAcentral.